GGGCCCGCACAAGCGGUGGAGCAUGCGGUUUAAUUCGAUAAUCCGCGAGGAACCUUACCAACCUUUGACAUAUUUGUCGCGAGUGUAGAGAUACACUUUUCAUCUAGGAUGGACAUUUACAGGGUUGCAUGGUCGUCGUCAGCUCGUGUCGUGAGAUGUUGGGUUAAGUCCCGCAACGAGCGCAACCCCUUUCUUUAUUUGCCAUCAGGUUAUGCUGGGAACUAUAAAAGAUACUGCCGGUGUUAAACCGGAGGAAGGCGGGGACGAUGUCAGAUCAUCAUGGCCUUUAUAGGUUGGGCUACACGUGUGCUACAAUGGCGUCUACAACGGGUUGCGAUUCAGUAAUGAU
Molecule: ribosomal RNA, 349 nt
Filed under: uncultured bacterium
Lineage: Bacteria
Description: bacterial SSU rRNA
Rfam family: Bacterial small subunit ribosomal RNA
Source: RNAcentral